GAAACCUUACAAAUGUAAUCAGUGUGAUAAAGUCUUUUCACAGUCACAUAGUCUCCAAAUACACAAAAGGACACACACUGGAGAGAAACCCUAUGUAUGUAAUCAAUGUGGUAAAGCCUUCGCAGAUAAUAGUCACCUUCGAAGACACAAAAGAACGCAUACUGGAGAGAAACCCUAUGAAUGUAACCAAUGUGGCUCAGCCUUUUCACAAAGCAGCUAUCUUAGAAUACAUAAAAGAACACAUACUGGAGAGAAACACUUUGAAUAAGCAAGCCAUAUGGUAAAGCCUUUGCAUAUAGCAGUAGUCUUAGACAACAUGAGAAAAGUCAGCCUACAGAGAAACCCCACACAUGUAGUGAGUGUGGCAAAGUUUUG
Molecule: long non-coding RNA, 375 nt
Filed under: Rattus norvegicus (Norway rat)
Lineage: Eukaryota; Metazoa; Chordata; Mammalia; Rodentia; Muridae
Description: long non-coding RNA NONRATT023831
Source: RNAcentral